RNAcentral lists this ribosomal RNA (255 nucleotides) under uncultured bacterium. RNAcentral's name for it is "partial small subunit ribosomal RNA". It matches the Rfam family "Bacterial small subunit ribosomal RNA", at positions 26 to 286 of the family's 1533-position model. The record is from RNAcentral.
AGGACGAACGCUGGCGGCGUGCUUAACACAUGCAAGUCGAGCGGAAAGGCCCUUCGGGGUACUCGAGCGGCGAACGGGUGAGUAACACGUGAGCAACCUGCCCCUGGCUCUGGGAUAGCUCCGGGAAACCGGGAUUAAUACCGGACAUGACCUCCUCCCGCAUGGGUGGGGGUGGAAAGUUUUUCGGCCAGGGAGGGGCUCGCGGCCUAUCAGCUUGUUGGCAGGGUAAUGGCCUACCAAGGCGACGACGGGUAG